RNAcentral lists this ribosomal RNA (497 nucleotides) under uncultured bacterium. Its description in RNAcentral is "partial 16S ribosomal RNA". It matches the Rfam family "Bacterial small subunit ribosomal RNA", at positions 28 to 507 of the family's 1533-position model. The record is from RNAcentral.
GAUGAACGCUGGCGGCGUGCCUAAUACAUGCAAGUCGAGCGAACAGAUGAGGAGCUUGCUCCUCUGACGUUAGCGGCGGACGGGUGAGUAACACGUGGAUAACCUACCUAUAAGACUGGGAUAACUUCGGGAAACCGGAGCUAAUACCGGAUAAUAUAUUGAACCGCAUGGUUCAAUAGUGAAAUACGGUUUUGCUGUCACUUAUAGAUGGAUCCGCGCCGCAUUAGCUAGUUGGUAAGGUAACGGCUUACCAAGGCAACGAUGCGUAGCCGACCUGAGAGGGUGAUCGGCCACACUGGAACUGAGCCACGGUCCAGACUCCUACGGGAGGCAGCAGUAGGGAAUCUUCCGCAAUGGGCGAAAGCCUGACGGAGCAACGCCGAGUGAGUGAUGAAGGUCUUCGGAUCGUAAAACUCUGUUAUUAGGGAAGAACAAAUGUGUAAGUAACUAUGCACGUCUUGACGGUACCUAAUCAGAAAGCCACGGCUAACUACGUG